Mandrillus leucophaeus (drill) is the source of this 371-nucleotide long non-coding RNA. RefSeq lists it as uncharacterized. Lineage: Eukaryota; Metazoa; Chordata; Mammalia; Primates; Cercopithecidae. The record is from RefSeq and is a predicted model, not a curated record. The transcript is spliced from 2 exons.
GGCCUUGUUGAAGAUGGCUGAGUGUAAACCAGAAUGCAAAUCAGCUGGGGCACGUACUACUGGAGGCAGCGCCCCAUGAGAAGGGGCCAAGAACCCGCACCCACCAAAAUCAAGAUGAAAGGCUGAACCCGGAGAGAAAAGGGAGCAACUGAUGUUGCCAUGCAGAUCCCUUGGUUGCUAUGAGAUGGUAACAUCACUCUGCCCCGCGAUUGGCCAGUGCCUCCUCAGCUGUGGUGCCUCCCAGGCUGUGUGGUUCUCAUGUGGGCCACUGACACAGAGCUGUUACUAUGGUGAACUUUACAAUUUCCUUUGAUUGGUGGAUUUCAGAAAUAGGCCAUCAGUGGAAUUCAUUAUAUUCAGCUAAGUAAAAA